GCCGGGCGUGGUGGUGCAUGCCUGUAAUCCCAGCUACUCAGGAGGCUGAGGCAGGAGAACUGCGUGAACCCGGGAGGUGGAGGUUGCAGUGAGCCGAGAUCGCGCCACUGCACUCCAGCCUGGGUGACACAGCAGGACUCUGUCUCAA
This is an unclassified non-coding RNA of Pongo abelii (Sumatran orangutan), 148 nucleotides long. It matches the Rfam family "Metazoan signal recognition particle RNA". Rfam says of the family: The signal recognition particle (SRP) is a universally conserved ribonucleoprotein. It is involved in the co-translational targeting of proteins to membranes. NCBI's taxonomy places the organism in Eukaryota, Metazoa, Chordata, Mammalia, Primates, Hominidae. The record is from Ensembl.